RNAcentral lists this transfer RNA (73 nucleotides) under Loxodonta africana (African savanna elephant). It matches the Rfam family "tRNA". Rfam says of the family: Transfer RNA (tRNA) molecules are approximately 80 nucleotides in length. The record is from Rfam by way of RNAcentral. Lineage: Eukaryota; Metazoa; Chordata; Mammalia; Proboscidea; Elephantidae.
GCUUGGGUAACUCAGUUGGUAGAGAAUCAGUCUUUUAAUCUGAGGCUCCAGAGUUCAAGUCCCUUUUCAGGCU